GGAGAAGAGAAGCUGAUGGCGCCACGAGGUCAGCUUCAAAAAGGCUAGGCGGAGUGUAGAAUAUUUCUUUCUCUCCCAAACGCCAAAAAAAUAUGAAACUUUUCUCUCCUGCUUUUAACCUUCUUCUUCUUCUGACGUACCUGAGACAAAUGUCACAUCCUGUCUUGAAUGGGCUGGUGUCAACUAUUCCAUAAGAGCACUUUUGCUGCUGAACGAGU
Daphnia pulicaria is the source of this 218-nucleotide long non-coding RNA. RefSeq lists it as uncharacterized. Lineage: Eukaryota; Metazoa; Arthropoda; Branchiopoda; Diplostraca; Daphniidae. The transcript is spliced from 2 exons. The record is from RefSeq and is a predicted model, not a curated record.